GCCUGAAGCGCUGUCAGUGCCGGGUCCUGCAGCUCCGCGGAGAGCAGUGUCCGCUUCCAGAGCUGCAGCAUGGAGCCGCACCGCUGGCUGCCUCUGGAGGCCAAUCCCGACGUCAUUAAUCAGAUGCACAUGCUCCUCUGGGAUCUUCCUCAUCUCAGUGACUAAAAGACAACUUGAAAAAUUGUUGCCUUGAACAUUCCAUUCCCC
RNAcentral lists this long non-coding RNA (207 nucleotides) under Pelusios castaneus (West African mud turtle). RNAcentral describes it as "lncRNA (ENSPCEG00000005044.1)". Lineage: Eukaryota; Metazoa; Chordata; Testudines; Pelomedusidae. The record is from RNAcentral.